Lineus longissimus is the source of this 3794-nucleotide long non-coding RNA. RefSeq lists it as uncharacterized. Lineage: Eukaryota; Metazoa; Nemertea; Pilidiophora; Heteronemertea; Lineidae. The record is from RefSeq and is a predicted model, not a curated record. The transcript is spliced from 8 exons.
AUAAAGUAUUAUGCUCGGUACUAGAUGCACGAGAUCAUAGGACAAACACACACGUGAAUAAAAAAACCGCUUAGAACUGGUGACGUCACAAAGAUCUCUGCAUCCCUCGAUGCGUACUGGAAGAUGUAAGAAAUCGCUCACGGCGAAGGAAAUUUUCAUCCGCAAACUUCGGUAAUAAACAUACAUGACUAGGCUUCUUUUAUUCAUCGUUUGUUAUAAAAUAUCAGUCAAUCAUAGACAAUUAGGCCUAGACAUAGUCGUCAACCUUAUCCAUGCAUAAUGCAUGACAGGCCCCCAAUUUUCUCUGUAUCACCCUGUAUGAACAGACCGAUCCGUAGUUCAAAUAGGCCCCGCGUGGUGGUGGCGUAUUUAUAAGCGGAGCGCUAUUGGUUCAUAUUAUGGGUGUGUGGUGGGCGUGUCUUCCCAUAUUUGGGAGAUCAGUACUGUACACUGGAGGCGAGGUACAACUGGGUUGUUCUAAAAUACAGACUAUUGAAUCGGAUAUGCGACAGAUUUCUAAAUUACCAUAAAAUUCCGAUCUGAUCAUAUGACGCGUACCUUGUCCGCAAUUGCAACGAAAGAUUCUCGCUGAUAUGGUUUUCAAGGUGAAGGGUUACAUGUAGAUGCCACAAACCUUGACCGCAAUUGCAACCGAAGAUUUUUGGAUGAACCGCAAGACGAUCAGAUGAAGGCUUUCAGUUGUCCAGGCCAGGCCAGGUGACCAAUGACGAUGAUAGAUCGGGUUCGAUUCAAGCUGUACGCUUGGUGUAUUCGGUUAUCGUGUCUGGCGACUGAGUCUAACUCACGUCCAAAGCACGGUGGCUGGGUCCCAGGCAUGCUUGCCACUUUGUUCUGCGGUCCUCAUCUAAGUUUCGACGGAGAUGACAUGGACUUAGGUUCAAAGUACGUGUUCCCCUUGAGUCAUUGUGGUUGAUUGAUUGGGGAAAUUAACGAUUGCGUGUCGCUAGUCAUUCACAAUAUCCCCUGUUGAAGAGUGUUGGCGGGAUAAGUCUUACGACUGUUAACAAUAGUAAGCAAUAGCUGGCCAGCGAUCCCCUACCUGAUCUCGAGGGGGAUGGAAUGACUGGGGUUAGAGGCCUGUUGUUAACCUGCGGAAUUUCGUCGGACGAAAUGUCAGGCGUGUCCGUGUGGGACUUGUGCUAAACCAGUUUAGUACUAAUGACGAAGACCUUGGGUCCUUUGAAUAACAACAGUGUUCUCAACCUCCUUGUGCCUCUCAAAGCUAACGUAUAUACCCGCUGAAAUCGACAAGACGGCGAUGAAGAAGGAGAGCCGGCCUCCAGCUGGAGAGCCGAGAAGACACUGGAUGGACCUGAAGAAUAUGUUGCUGCCAAUGUUGGAGCCAUACAGGGCAGCCCGAGCCAACAUUGUACAAGGGCCACAAGGUCCAGGACCUCAAGGACAAGGGACACAAGGACAAGGGACACAAGGACAAGGGACACAAGGACAAGGGACACAAGGACAAGGGACACAAGGACAAGGGACACAAGGACAAGGGACACAAGGACAAGGGACACAAGGACAAGGGACACAAAAGACGAUGUUGCAAUCUGCGGGCCCUCUGCAGAUUGAGAUGAUUGCUGUCGAGAAGACCCAACCACUCAACCAAGAUCUACAAUUCGUGCUAUGUUAGAUGUGACUCUCAAAAGAUUUUGGAUGACGAAGGAAUCCAAUACAUAUAUGUCGCUCACAGAUACGGGCAGACGACCGAGAGUCGAGUGGAUUCAGUGGAUCGAAUGGUUGUGCAGAGGGAUAGCCAUGUGCAGGAGUGACGAACCACAGCUCAGCAAACGAUGCCUUGACAGAACAAUUCAAGGAGAACAUUCGCUGAGAUCAGAAAGGGAACUUGUUUGCUGUGGGGAUGGAUUGGACACCAAAAUGUCUGUCAUUCUAAUAAACUAUAAUGACAAUCCAACUCCAAAGAGACUCUCUGGACUUAGGGAAAGCUACGGACAUAGAGCCCAGACAUGAUAUCCUGCAGCCACCAUGAGGACAGCCUAUCUCAUACCUUCGGAAGGGUGCCAUCACACGCAUGGAGAAGCAUCCGACAGGAGGAAGAUGGAUGUUGCUGACCAGCACAUCCCAACGAUGUAUUUUUGUCACCGUAGACCUAUUGUUUUUAUUGAAAUAUCUGAUUGAAAGGUGAUUUUAUUGAUAAAAAUCCUAAAAUUUUAUGAUGGGAGAAGGCAUAUAUUUACCUUCUUAGGGCAAUGACAAUAUGUUGUCAUGGUUUAAAAUAAUGCACGUAUAAAGAAGGAAUAACAUUUUAGAGGAGGGUUUCUUUUGUUACCAGGGGCACCAUGAUCCAAGAGAUCAACAAUUUUCUGGCAAAAUCUUUUGAAAGAAAGCGAAAUGUGGAGUGGGCGUUUAUGGAGAGCCAAUAGGGCAUGUCAGUACCCAAACAAAUAAGUCUUAAGCAAAAUUGAUUUUUAGCUUAUGAAGGCAGAAGCUAAUAGCCUAGGGCACAUCAGGACCCUACUGCUUGAAAUGGUUUUCUCCUGAAAUAAUCACCAACUUCAUCAGAUAUUUCAUUAUUAUAUCUCCAUCACUUGAGACAUGGGGUUCAUAUGAUUUCUUUCUUGCUUAAACCCCAAGCAAAAAAGGAACAUAUGUGUCUGCGAUGGAACGUAGGCCUUUUUUACUGUUUCUCGAUCUCCCCAGCACCAUAGAAUCCACGGGCAUUGGUCUGAGCAGUUAAGCUGAGACCUUCUAACAUUGGCUGGCUCAGUUGCUUGGUAUCAUAUAAUACCAGAGACAACUGACCAACUACACAAAGAAGUUAAAGAAGUUGCGUUCCCUCAAUCACUUCUACCAAAUACCUGGGAACCAGGUAUUGAUGAAAAGACACAUUCAAUUUAUAUAGUUGAAAACACUCCCAUUAUUUUAUUGAUAUUUGUGAGAAUAUCAAAAGAUUUCCUGAUGACAGAAUCGACUGCUUCGAGAUCUUGCCAGGGCAUAUUUAUCAUGCUCUGCAGAUUAUGAAGACGGUCUUUUGCCCCACUGAGAAUUGGAUUAGACAUGGUACUGAAUGGUUUGAGAAAAGUGUAAUUAAAACGUCAACUUUGUAAGACGUUUCAUUUUGUCCUGCAUGUAAUAAAUGUAGACCUUGUUAGUAAAAUAAAGAGAUCUUAGACUCCAACUUGCCAAAAAACUGGCAUACCCACUUCUGUCUAGUCUUGCCAUGUCGAAAGCUACGUCUUUUGUCAUGCAAAUAACAUGUCACCUCUCAACCUUUUGUGAUGCAAAGCGGCAGCCUCAAGGUGGAGUGGCCAUGAGAAAUGUGGUCCUUUUGUUAUUUAAAUUGGGCCCUUAAGCUGUUUAGUCAUGGUGUGAUGACAGCCUUGACUGUUGGUUGAAAUGGCUCAACUGCAGUCAUACACAAUAGGUUUAAUGCAUGCAUGAAUAGUGAAUGAACAUAUUAUUAGCAUGCAGAGUUGAAGUUGUGGAGUCUGACUAGUGUAAGAUCUCUAUUUAGCAAUGUCUUUCUUGAACAUUACAUCUUGUAAAGGAGUAGACCAUGUGUGAUAGUAUUACUAUCUUCUGGUUUUCUCCUGUUAUGGGCUUUCGGAGUGGCACAGUACUUAAAUGUACACGUCUGAUGUCAUUUAAAAAACUCAGUCCUUGAAGCCUGUCACCUGUGUGAUGGAGUCGGCAGCUCCCUCCGAUCGCGUAGGUUUUCUCCCGGGGACGGGUUUCCUCCUGCACGACAUUCCAAAUUGCCAUUACGAUAAUUCUUGGGAUGUACAACAAUAAAAAAGAUUUUCAAAAGAUAA